This 1352-nucleotide ribosomal RNA is filed under the name uncultured bacterium. RNAcentral describes it as "16S ribosomal RNA". It matches the Rfam family "Bacterial small subunit ribosomal RNA", at positions 21 to 1394 of the family's 1533-position model. The record is from RNAcentral.
GGCUCAGUACGAACGCUGGCGGCGCGCCUAACACAUGCAAGUCGAACGAGAGAUGAGGAGCUUGCUCUUCAAAUCGAGUGGCGAACGGGUGAGUAACGCGUGAGGAACCUGCCUCAAAGAGGGGGACAACAGUUGGAAACGACUGCUAAUACCGCAUAAGCCCACGGCUCGGCAUCGAGCAGAGGGAAAAGGAGCAAUCCGCUUUGAGAUGGCCUCGCGUCCGAUUAGCUAGUUGGUGAGGUAAUGGCCCACCAAGGCGACGAUCGGUAGCCGGACUGAGAGGUUGAACGGCCACAUUGGGACUGAGACACGGCCCAGACUCCUACGGGAGGCAGCAGUGGGGAAUAUUGCACAAUGGGGGAAACCCUGAUGCAGCGACGCCGCGUGGAGGAAGAAGGUCUUCGGAUUGUAAACUCCUGUUGUUGAGGAAGAUAAUGACGGUACUCAACAAGGAAGUGACGGCUAACUACGUGCCAGCAGCCGCGGUAAAACGUAGGUCACAAGCGUUGUCCGGAAUUACUGGGUGUAAAGGGAGCGCAGGCGGGAGAACAAGUUGGAAGUGAAAUCCAUGGGCUCAACCCAUGAACUGCUUUCAAAACUGUUUUUCUUGAGUAGUGCAGAGGUAGGCGGAAUUCCCGGUGUAGCGGUGGAAUGCGUAGAUAUCGGGAGGAACACCAGUGGCGAAGGCGGCCUACUGGGCACCAACUGACGCUGAGGCUCGAAAGUGUGGGUAGCAAACAGGAUUAGAUACCCUGGUAGUCCACACCGUAAACGAUGAUUACUAGGUGUUGGGGGAUUGACCCCUUCAGUGCCGCAGUUAACACAAUAAGUAAUCCACCUGGGGAGUACGACCGCAAGGUUGAAACUCAAAGGAAUUGACGGGGGCCCGCACAAGCAGUGGAGUAUGUGGUUUAAUUCGACGCAACGCGAAGAACCUUACCAAGUCUUGACAUCCCUUGACGAACAUAGAAAUAUGUUUUCUCUUCGGAGCAAGGAGACAGGUGGUGCAUGGUUGUCGUCAGCUCGUGUCGUGAGAUGUUGGGUUAAGUCCCGCAACGAGCGCAACCCUUAUGGUCAGUUACUACGCAAGAGGACUCUGGCCAGACUGCCGUUGACAAAACGGAGGAAGGUGGGGAUGACGUCAAAUCAUCAUGCCCUUUAUGACUUGGGCUACACACGUACUACAAUGGCGUUAAACAAAGAGAAGCAAGACCGCGAGGUGGAGCAAAACUCAGAAACAACGUCCCAGUUCGGACUGCAGGCUGCAACUCGCCUGCACGAAGUCGGAAUUGCUAGUAAUCGUGGAUCGGCAUGCCACGGUGAAUACGUUCCCGGGCCUUGUACACACCGCC